CGCACACACACACACGAUAUUGCAUUCAAGAAAAAUUGCAUUAAUGAUAAAUAUGUAUAGGAUAUAGAAUUUUGUUAAUGUCUUUCACCAGAAAGGUGAGAGGAAAUUUAAGUGAUACUUUUAGGCUUUAGGCUUUGCUUUAGGGGAAUGGAGCUUUACUUUCUACUACCUUGAGGAAGAAGAAUUCUAGGUUCUCUGACUCUCAAAGUCAAGAAGAGGAACAACUCAGGAGAAGCUCAGACAGGUCUGGUUGGUUCUGAGACCACUUCUCAGAUCUUCCAGUGUCUUUCAGUUCAAUAGUACUCAGUAUGGCUGUGCCAUAUUUAAGGAUGUUAUUUUCUGAGCCCCAAUAGAGCAAUGGAUGGAUGGAGGGGAAGACAGUGGAAGACUGUAAGAGGGCCUUGUGAUCUAUUUGAAAGGUUAGUUUUUUUAAAAUCUUAAAUGAGAUGGGGGGCAGAUUUGGAGGAUUUUAAUUUGAGAAGAGCCAAUACCUGACAUUUUAACUUGAUGGUUCUGGCUUCUGUGUUGUAAAUAGAAUGUAGAGAGGUUAGAGUGGAAAGCCAGUUUUUAGGUUCUUAGAAUAGCAAAGAUGAUAGUGGCUUAACCUGGAGUGGUGAGGGUAGAGGUGGUGAGAAGUACUUGGAUUUAGGAUGUAUUUUGAAGUUGUUGUUGACAGAAUUUCUGAUGGAUUGAUGUGUGGUUUGAAAGAAAAAUUAGUGCCAAGGAUUAUUUUAGAUUUACUGGUCUCAGCAACU
Perognathus longimembris pacificus (Pacific pocket mouse) is the source of this 755-nucleotide long non-coding RNA. RefSeq lists it as uncharacterized. Lineage: Eukaryota; Metazoa; Chordata; Mammalia; Rodentia; Heteromyidae. The transcript has 2 exons. The record is from RefSeq and is a predicted model, not a curated record.